Oreochromis niloticus (Nile tilapia) is the source of this 1075-nucleotide long non-coding RNA. RefSeq lists it as uncharacterized. Lineage: Eukaryota; Metazoa; Chordata; Actinopteri; Cichliformes; Cichlidae. The record is from RefSeq and is a predicted model, not a curated record. The transcript has 3 exons.
ACUGUGUCCAGUUAGUCCUGCUACAAGCCCUCACAACACCCAAACUCAAGAAGAAAAAGGAAAGAGAUCUGAGCAGCACUUCAGACAUUACCGCUACUGCUGACGAAGACAAACAUGUCCAGAAAAGCUGUGCUGGGUUUGAUUCUUCUUUGUCUGUUUCUCUUCUUCUUCUUCUCUUCUUUUUCACCAACAUCUUCUAAAGAAACAACAACCAUCAGAGCUAAGGCUGGACAGGAUGUCGUUCUGCCGUGUCACGUUCCAAAAGAUAGAUCCAUCACAGGCGCAGUGUGGACCCACACUGACACGAAAACACAUUAUGUUUUCUUGUACCACAGCAAUAGCUCUGAAAUAAUCAGUCGGCAGAAAGAAGUACUGAACUGGAUAAACAUGCAGAAAGAUAUGACGGAUGACAAAUAUUUGGUUAUCUGGGAAUCCGGGGAGUAACAAACACAAUGGCUGUAAGCCAUUUUGAAGAUUGUCAUCAAGCUGACAAUGAAUCCAAUGGCUGAAUCAACAGAUGAUGGAUUGAGAGUGUGUGCUCCACAUGCUUUGUUUCAGCCACUUGCUUUUACUCUUGGUGUCAUUGCAGAUGUUUUGAGAUGGAAGGCUUUCCAUGGAGCUGGCUUAGUGUGACUCCAUGCAUGGCCUGCCUGCGUACAUUCUUGGUGACUUCUUGGUAAAUCUUUUUGAACGUCUUCAGUGUCGUAGUAGUGCUGGGUGGUAUACCACUUGUAACUUUAUUUGUGAUGUUAAAAUUUCAACAUAGUAUUGAAUUGACAAAAAGACCACCAUUGAUGAUAAAAUGGUUGACGAGUAUGUUUAAAUUAACUGCAAAGAACCCAAAUGGAUGUUUUGUGCUUUUUCAUAUCUCAAAUACUUUUUAACAUAUUGUGUUGAAAAGUGGUCCAACCCAUUUUUCUCAUACAUUGAAAUCUGAGGCAAUGUCUGAACAUGAAUAUUUCAAAGACUAUUUAGAAUAAAAGCCUAAGUUUUCACUGGUCUUUCUUACCAUCAAAGUAAAUGAGAAUCUGUCAUGUGGAACAUAUACAUCAACUCAUUUUCUAAGUACUAUAAU